RNAcentral lists this ribosomal RNA (253 nucleotides) under uncultured bacterium. Its description in RNAcentral is "partial 16S ribosomal RNA". It matches the Rfam family "Bacterial small subunit ribosomal RNA", at positions 524 to 776 of the family's 1533-position model. The record is from RNAcentral.
UACGGAGGGUGCAAGCAUUAAUCGGAUUUAUUGGGCGUAAAGGGUGCGUAGGCGGGAAUUUAAGUCAGAUGUGAAAUCCCGGGGCUCAACCCCGGAAUGGCAUUUGAAACUGGAUUUCUUGAGGAUAGGUGGGGAAAGCGGAAUUCCACAUGUAGCGGUGAAAUGCGUAGAUAUGUGGAAGAACACCAGUGGCGAAGGCGGCUUUCUAAUCUAUAUCUGACGCUGAGGCACGAAAGCAAGGGGAGCAAACAGG